Non-coding RNA from Vigna radiata var. radiata (mung bean), 85 nucleotides. Lineage: Eukaryota; Viridiplantae; Streptophyta; Magnoliopsida; Fabales; Fabaceae. The record is from Rfam.
UCCUCCGAGGAUGAACAAAAUGAACUUUCGUUCUUCUGAGCUGUUUCCAAUGCGGAAAAUUACUGGAGACCUGAACUGAGGAGGC